Molecule: ribosomal RNA, 611 nt
Filed under: Planococcus sp. SCULCB HNA-26
Lineage: Bacteria; Bacillati; Bacillota; Bacilli; Caryophanales; Caryophanaceae
Description: bacterial SSU rRNA
Rfam family: Bacterial small subunit ribosomal RNA
Source: RNAcentral
GCUCAUAUGUCUUAGCGGCGGACGGGUGAGUAACACGUGGGCAACCUGCCCUGCAGAUCGGGAUAACUCCGGGAAACCGGUGCUAAUACCGAAUAGUUUGGGGCCUCUCCUGAGGCCCCACGGAAAGACGGUUUCGGCUGUCACUGCAGGAUGGGCCCGCGGCGCAUUAGCUAGUUGGUGGGGUAAUGGCCCACCAAGGCGACGAUGCGUAGCCGACCUGAGAGGGUGAUCGGCCACACUGGGACUGAGACACGGCCCAGACUCCUACGGGAGGCAGCAGUAGGGAAUCUUCCGCAAUGGACGAAAGUCUGACGGAGCAACGCCGCGUGAGUGACGAAGGUUUUCGGAUCGUAAAACUCUGUUGUGAGGGAAGAACAAGUACCAAUUAACUACUGGUACCUUGACGGUACCUCACCAGAAAGCCACGGCUAACUACGUGCCAGCAGCCGCGGUAAUACGUAGGUGGCAAGCGUUGUCCGGAAUUAUUGGGCGUAAAGCGCGCGCAGGCGGUCCCUUAAGUCUGAUGUGAAAGCCCACGGCUCAACCGUGGAGGGUCAUUGGAAACUGGGGGACUUGAGUGCAGAAGAGGAAAGUGGAAUUCCAGGUGUAGC